Molecule: ribosomal RNA, 774 nt
Filed under: uncultured Neocallimastigales
Lineage: Eukaryota; Fungi; Neocallimastigomycota; Neocallimastigomycetes; Neocallimastigales
Description: partial large subunit ribosomal RNA
Rfam family: Eukaryotic large subunit ribosomal RNA
Source: RNAcentral
UAUGUGAUCGUCUCUCGCAUAUCAAUAAGCGGAGGAAAAGAAACUAACAAGGAUUCCCCUAGUAACGGCGAGUGAAGCGGGAAGAGCUCAAAUUUGAAAUCUUAAAGGGUUUCCCUUUACGAAUUGUAGUUUAAAGAAGUGUUUUCUGUAGAGGUUUUGGUAAAAGUUCUUUGGAAUAGGACAUCAUAGAGGGUGAGAAUCCCGUAUUUGACCUUUACUUUCAACUUUGUGAUACACUUUCAAAGAGUCGGAUUGUUUGGGAAUGCAGUCCAAAAUGGGUGGUAAAUUUCAUCUAAAGCUAAAUAUUGGCGAGAGACCGAUAGCGAACAAGUACCGUGAGGGAAAGAUGAAAAGAACUUUGAAAAGAGAGUUAAACAGUACGUGAAAUUGUCAAAAGGGAAGCGUUUGACACCAGUGUUGUUUUUCUGAAAAUCAAUUAAAGAACUGUUUAUGCUAAGUUGUUUAGACUUUAUCAGCUAUCUGUUUAGUUUUGAGCUUUUCUUUAAUGCACUUUUCAGUUAACAAGUCAACAUCAAUUUCUUUUGCUGUAAAAAAGCUUGAGGAAGGUGGCUUGAGAUUCGUCUUAAGUGUUUAUAGCCUCUUGCCUAUGCAGUCGGAGAGAUUGAGGUCUGCAGCGUAGAUCCUUCGGGGCUAAAUGCAUUUGUGCUAAGUUAUAGCAUUUUAUAGACAACUUGUUGACUAUGAUUUGUCUUGUAGCUUACUCGCUUAUGUUAUUUUACCUACGCUUAGGAUGUUGAAGACUCUACAGAGAUA